This 509-nucleotide ribosomal RNA is filed under the name uncultured Alphaproteobacteria bacterium. RNAcentral's name for it is "bacterial SSU rRNA". It matches the Rfam family "Bacterial small subunit ribosomal RNA", at positions 36 to 534 of the family's 1533-position model. Lineage: Bacteria; Pseudomonadati; Pseudomonadota; Alphaproteobacteria. The record is from RNAcentral.
CUGGCGGCGUGCCUAACACAUGCAAGUCGAACGGAGGUAGCAAUACCUUAGUGGCGCACGGGUGAGUAAUGCAUGGGAGAUCUGCCCUACGGAGAUGGAUAGCUACGGGAAACUGUAAUUAAUACGUCGUAAGCAGUAGUCUAGAGAGAGAUUACUGGAAAGGCUGGGACCGUAAGGCCAGUCGCCGAAGGAUGAGCCCAUGUCCCAUUAGCUUGUUGGUAGGGUAAAAGCCUACCAAGGCGAAGAUGGGUAACUGGUCUGAGAGGAUGAUCAGUCACACUGGAACUGAGACACGGUCCAGACUCCUACGGGAGGCAGCAGUGGGGAAUAUUGCGCAAUGGACGAAAGUCUGACGCAGCAACGCCGCGUGAGUGAAGAAGGCCUUUGGGUUGUAAAGCUCUUUCGGCCGGGAAGAAGGGUGAUGGUGUUAAUAGCAUUAUCAUUUGAUGGUACCGGAAGAAGAAGCACCGGCUAACUUCGUGCCAGCAGCCGCGGUAAUACGAAGGGGG